UCUGCCCACGAGUGGGGGACAACCUGGGGAAACUCAGGCUAAUACCGCAUGAGCUCGCAAGAGGAAAGCGGGGGACCUUCGGGCCUCGCGCUGGUGGAAGAGCCUACGUCCGAUUAGCUAGUUGGUGGGGUAAGGGCCCACCAAGGCGACGAUCGGUAGCGGGUCUGAGAGGACGACCCGCCACACUGGGACUGAGACACGGCCCAGACUCCUACGGGAGGCAGCAGUGGGGAAUAUUGGACAAUGGGCGCAAGCCUGGUCCAGCAAUGCCGCGUGGGUGAGGAAGGCCUGCGGGUUGUAAAGCCCUUUAGGCGGGGAGGAACGGCGGCGCGCGAACACCGUGUCGUUCUGACGUUACCCGCGAAAUAAGCACCGGCUAACUCCGUGCCAGCAGCCGCGGUAAUACGGAGGGUGCGAGCGUUAAUCGGAAUUACUGGGCGUAAAGCGUGCGUAGGCGGUGGGGUCAGUCAGCCGUGAAAGCCCUGGGCUUAACCUGGGAACGGCGGUUGAGACGGCCCGACUAGAGUGGGCUAGAGGAUCGUGGAAUUCCGGGUGUAGCGGUGAAAUGCGUAGAGAUCCGGAGGAACACCGAUGGCGAAGGCAGCGGUCUGGGGCCACACUGACGCUGAGGCACGAAAGCGUGGGGAGCAAACAGGAUUGGAUACCCUGGUAGUCCACGCGGUAAACUAUGAGCACUAGACGCCGGGGGGGUGACCUUUCGGUGUCGUAGCUAACGCGCUAAGUGCUCCGCCUGGGGAGUACGGCCGCAAGGUUGAAACUCAAAGGAAUUGACGGGGGCCCGCACAAGCGGUGGAGCAUGUGCUUUAAUUCGAUGCAACGCGAAGAACCUUACCUGGGUUUGACAUGGGAGUGACGGUUCCCGGAGACGGGAGCUUUUCCGCAAGGAACACUCUACACAGGUGCUGCAUGGUUGUCGUCAGCUCGUGUCGUGAGAUGUUAGGUUAAGUCCUGCAACGAGCGCAACCCUCGCCCUUAGUUGCCAUCAGGUCAAGCUGGGAACUCUAAGGGGACCGCCUAGUUUAACUAGGAGGAAGGUGGGGAUGACGUCAAAUCAUCAUGGCCCUUACGUCCAGGGCUAGACACGUGCUACAAUGGCCGGUACAAUGGGAUGCUAGACUGCGAAGUUACGCUAAUCCCACAAAACCGGUCUCAGUUCGGAUUGGAGUCUGCAAUUCGACUCCAUGAAGCUGGAAUCGCUAGUAAUCGUGGAUCAGCAUGCCACGGUGAAUACGUUCCCGGGCCUUGUACACACCGCCCGUCAAGCCAUGAAAGAUGGCAGUACCCGAUGUCGCUUCUUUAACCCGCAAGGGGAGAGUGCGCCUAAGGUAAGGCCAUUGAUUGGGGCUAAGUCGUAACAAGGUA
This 1383-nucleotide ribosomal RNA is filed under the name metagenome. RNAcentral describes it as "bacterial SSU rRNA". It matches the Rfam family "Bacterial small subunit ribosomal RNA", at positions 125 to 1498 of the family's 1533-position model. The record is from RNAcentral.